AUUCAGUGGGACCAUUCCAUGGGGUCAGGAUGGAGGUGGACCCCAACGACUGUUCCAUGGGGUUGGGAUUCAAUGGGACCAUUCCAUGGGGUCAGGAUGGAGGUGGACCCCAAUGACCAUUCCAUGGCGUCAGGGUUCAAUGGGACCACCCCAAUGGGGUUGGGAUUCAAUGGGACCACUCCAUGGGGUCGGGAUGGAGGUGGACCCCAAUGACCAUUCCAUGGGGUCGGGAUGGAGGUGGACCCCAAUGACCACUCCAUGGGGUCAGGGUUCAAUGGGACCACCCCAAUGGGGCUGGGAUUCAAUGGGACCACUCCAUGGGGUUGGGAUUCAGUGGGACCAUUCCAUGGGGUCAGGAUGGAGGUGGACCCCAAUGACCACUCCAUGGGGUUGGGGUUCAAUGGGACAACUCGAUGGGGUUGGGAUGGAGGUGGACCCCAAUGACCAUUCCAUGGGGUUGGGAUUCAAUGGGACCACUCCAUGGGGUCGGGAUGGCGGUGGACCCCAACAACUGUUCUAUGGGGUCAGGAUUCAAUGGGACCACACAACGGAGACCCCAAUGACCACUCCAUGGGGUUGGGAUUCAGUGGGACCAUUCCAUGGGGUCGGGGUUCAGUGGGACCACCCCAAUGGGGUUGGGAUUCAAUGGGACCAUUCCAUGGGGUCGGGAUAGAGGUGGACCCCCGUGACCAUUCCAUGGGGUUGGGAUUCAGUGGGACCAUUCCAUGGGGUCAGGAUGGAGGUGGACCCCAACGACUGUUCCAUGGGGUUGGGAUUCA
Molecule: long non-coding RNA, 779 nt
Filed under: Numida meleagris (helmeted guineafowl)
Lineage: Eukaryota; Metazoa; Chordata; Aves; Galliformes; Numididae
Description: lncRNA (ENSNMEG00000002772.1)
Source: RNAcentral